This 302-nucleotide long non-coding RNA is filed under the name Marmota monax (woodchuck). Lineage: Eukaryota; Metazoa; Chordata; Mammalia; Rodentia; Sciuridae. The record is from RNAcentral.
AAAGAGAUAAGUGGAAUCAAAUUUAUAAAAAGUAAGCAAAUGACACCAGAUAGUCCCAGAAUACACAUGGAUAAAUAAAGACAACCAGGUAUUGUCGCGACCCCUUGCCCGCAAGGAAGACGCAACUCGGGAAUCUUCAUUCAACAGUUUAUUCAGGCCCUUGAUAUUUCUUCUUCUAACCCUCGGAUGCCCCUCCCAGCCUUAAUAAAGCAUCUCAAGCCCCAAUGCGAAGCUGCCACGUGGAGCUUUCUCAUAGGGUGGUAAGGGAUUGCGUGCCAAUUCUCCAUAUAAGGAGUUGUUUA